UACGUAGGUGGCAGGCGUUGUCCGGAAUUAUUGGGCGUAAAGCGCGCGCAGGCGGUCCUUUAAGUCUGAUGUGAAAGCCCACGGCUCAACCGUGGAAGGUCAUUGGAAACUGGAGGACUUGAGUACAGAAGAGGAAAGCGGAAUUCCACGUGUAGCGGUGAAAUGCGUAGAGAUGUGGAGGAACACCAGUGGCGAAGGCGC
RNAcentral lists this ribosomal RNA (201 nucleotides) under uncultured bacterium. RNAcentral's name for it is "partial 16S ribosomal RNA". It matches the Rfam family "Bacterial small subunit ribosomal RNA", at positions 524 to 725 of the family's 1533-position model. The record is from RNAcentral.